AUUUGAAAUCUGGUACCUUCGGUGCCCGAGUUGUAAUUUGGAGAGGGCAACUUUGGGGCCGUUCCUUGUCUAUGUUCCUUGGAACAGGACGUCAUAGAGGGUGAGAAUCCCGUGUGGCGAGGAGUGCGGUUCUUUGUAAAGUGCCUUCGAAGAGUCGAGUUGUUUGGGAAUGCAGCUCUAAGUGGGUGGUAAAUUCCAUCUAAAGCUAAAUAUUGGCGAGAGACCGAUAGCGAACAAGUACAGUGAUGGAAAGAUGAAAAGAACUUUGAAAAGAGAGUGAAAAAGUACGUGAAAUUGUUGAAAGGGAAGGGCAUUUGAUCAGACAUGGUGUUUUGUGCCCUCUGCUCCUUGUGGGUAGGGGAAUCUCGCAUUUCACUGGGCCAGCAUCAGUUUUGGUGGCAGGAUAAAUCCAUAGGAAUGUAGCUUGCCUCGGUAAGUAUUAUAGCCUGUGGGAAUACUGCCAGCUGGGACUGAGGACUGCGACGUAAGUCAAGGAUGCUGGCAUAAUGGUUAUAUGCCGCCCGUCUU
RNAcentral lists this ribosomal RNA (528 nucleotides) under uncultured Saccharomyces. RNAcentral describes it as "partial large subunit ribosomal RNA". It matches the Rfam family "Eukaryotic large subunit ribosomal RNA", at positions 113 to 655 of the family's 3401-position model. Lineage: Eukaryota; Fungi; Ascomycota; Saccharomycetes; Saccharomycetales; Saccharomycetaceae. The record is from RNAcentral.